Quercus robur (English oak) is the source of this 71-nucleotide small nucleolar RNA. RefSeq annotates it as small nucleolar RNA snoR60. The record is from RefSeq and is a predicted model, not a curated record. Lineage: Eukaryota; Viridiplantae; Streptophyta; Magnoliopsida; Fagales; Fagaceae. The transcript has a single exon.
AUGUAUAUGAUGAGUUACUUGGAUUCCCCUUCAAGACAUAAUUGAUGAUGAAAGACCAAGUUUCUGAUGCU